Polistes canadensis is the source of this 167-nucleotide long non-coding RNA. RefSeq lists it as uncharacterized. NCBI's taxonomy places the organism in Eukaryota, Metazoa, Arthropoda, Insecta, Hymenoptera, Vespidae. The transcript has 3 exons. The record is from RefSeq and is a predicted model, not a curated record.
ACGACUCUUUCGAAGGCGUACGUUGACCUUGUAAAGGCAUGGGGUUGGAAAAGCUUUACCAUCAUAUACGAGAACAACGAAGGACUGGUGCGAUUGCAGGAGCUUUUAAAAGCUCACGGUCCGAGCGAAUUCCCCAUUACUGUUAGGCAACUCAGCGAGGGCUCGGA